UUACGACCACAUCACGUAGGAACACCGGUUCUCGUACGAUCACUGAAGUUAAGCAGCAUCGCGCCUGGUCAGUACUUAGAUGGGUGACCGCUUGGAGAUAACUAGUGCUGUAAG
Acanthosepion pharaonis is the source of this 114-nucleotide non-coding RNA. Lineage: Eukaryota; Metazoa; Mollusca; Cephalopoda; Sepiida; Sepiidae. The record is from the annotation of a GenBank genome assembly.